Molecule: ribosomal RNA, 520 nt
Filed under: uncultured Glomus
Lineage: Eukaryota; Fungi; Glomeromycota; Glomeromycetes; Glomerales; Glomeraceae
Description: SSU rRNA
Rfam family: Eukaryotic small subunit ribosomal RNA
Source: RNAcentral
AGCAGCCGCGGUAAUUCCAGCUCCAAUAGCGUAUAUUAAAGUUGUUGCAGUUAAAAAGCUCGUAGUUGAAUUUCGGGGUCAGUAGAUUGGUCGUGCCACUGGUAUGUACUGGUCUUACUGGCUCCUCCUUCCUGAUGAACCGUAAUGCCAUUAAUUUGGUGUUGCGGGGAGACUGGACUGUUACUUUGAAAAAAUUAGAGUGUUUAAAGCAGGCUAACGCUUGAAUACAUUAGCAUGGAAUAAUGAAAUAGGACGUUCGAUCUUAUUUUGUUGGUUUCUAGGAUUGACGUAAUGAUUAAUAGGGAUAGUUGGGGGCAUUAGUAUUCAAUUGUCAGAGGUGAAAUUCUUGGAUUUAUUGAAGACUAACUACUGCGAAAGCAUUUGCCAAGGAUGUUUUCAUUAAUCAAGAACGAAAGUUAGGGGAAUCGAAGACGAUCAGAUACCGUCGUAGUCUUAACCAUAAACUAUGCCGACUAGGGAUCGGAUGAUGUAAUUUUUAAUGACUCAUUCGGCGCCUUAA